Molecule: long non-coding RNA, 11086 nt
Filed under: Homo sapiens (human)
Lineage: Eukaryota; Metazoa; Chordata; Mammalia; Primates; Hominidae
Description: PREDICTED lncRNA (TCONS_00172837)
Source: RNAcentral
GGAGUUAUUGUUUGUGUGUAGGGAUGUGUGGAUAAAAGGGAGCUGAUUUCUAGAGGUGAGAUGGCCCUGUGGUUAACGGUUGGAGGCUGCUGUUGACAAGGCCUGUUGCUGUGGCAGUUUUGCUCCGGAAGUGGCCAUUUUCUGGGCAGGGCUCCACCAGAGCACCAUCUGUCUGUGCCUUUUACUUCCUGUCAAGAGGCAGCAGGCUUCGUGAGCUGGGGAAGUGCCAGAAGCAGCCUUCGAAUUAGACAGACCUGGACCCAAACCCUUUCUCUUCCCCCCACCCAUUUUGGCAUCUUGGCACGAGACUGUCCCCAUUUCUGGAAAGGGUGUUCACAAGAACAGUCUGGCUGGGUUGUUGGGAUGACCGAGUGUGAUCAUGCGUCUCUAUGGCUGGCCAUGGUGUUUAUUCGAUGGCAGGUAUUACCAGGAUGGAGCGAGUCCCAGUAGGAAGGGCCUUUAGGAUGUCAUCUGGUUCCACCCAACAGGGAUGGGAACUGUAAUUCCCCACUCUCCCUGUGGAGAAUCAGGGCGGGCUCCGGAUGGAUGGCCAAAGGCUGCACAGAGCCCUUGUUCUUUAGCCACAGGUUGAAGAUGACAGUAGAUCCUAAGGAACCUCAGUUCUAUCCCGAAAUGCGAAGGCCUUUUUACUCAACCACAAAGAAGUGGUCAGCAGAAAACUGGUCAUCCCGGCCUCUGGGGCCAUGCACAGCACUCAGGAGGAGCUACUAUUUUCCCUGCCUGUUUACAUGCGGCCUGGGGCCUUGUGGGCUAUUUGAAAAUUAGGACACGAGAAGUCCAAGCAGCACCUGACUGGGAGCUCCAUGAGGUCCGAGACAACCUGAAGACGCCCAGCUCAGCAGAGACUGGCUACGGCAAUCACUCAGUAACUAUUUGUUGAAUUGGACAUAAUAGAAGAGCUGAAGAAUUUUAAACAAGUCACCAUCAGUGCAGUGGAUUCCUCAAAGCAAACCUGGAAAUCUCGGCAUGAGUUGGAUUUAAGGCAGUACAUUUUCAGCUCCUGAAAAUUUGAACAGUUUCUCAAGAGAACAACUUGAAACAGAAAGGCAAGGAUGUAGAUGUGGUUGUAGAAGAUGAUGUCUGCGGCCACCAAACUGUCCACUGUGAAGACAAACCAUGCAUGUUUAGUAGGCAGUGGCUCCUCUUCCCUGUGGGGAGUCCCACUGCUUCCCUGGCCUGGGUGUUCUCUGCCGGUAGAUGUUAUUGACAAAAUAAGCAAAGUCCUCUGAUUCUGAGAAUUAGAGUUAAUGAUAGCUCUAGAUUGCCUCUGCCAUGCUAUUUAAAGUCCUGCUUUAUUGUCUGACAUGAGUUCGGCAUCUAUGAGGACUUGUCCAGUGCAAAGUACAAUCUCCACUGAAAGAUAUCACCAGCACAUCUUGUCACUGUGCUGUAGCAAGCUGGGCAGUACAAUGAUGUUGGCAGGAUCCUGUUUAGGUGGAGGAUGGCCACCUGGGCAUCAAGAAUCUUCUACCCUGAUUCCACAUUGACUCCCCAAAGUGGGCUUCAGACAGCUCUUUACUUACGUCUUCUGAUUAAAGCAGCAGACAGGGUCCCAGCUAGAGAAAAGUUCUGGGAGCAGGAGAGGUGUUGGUGGCUUUAAAACCAGGGGUGAAGAUUGAAUUAGGAGGUUAGGCAGGAGUAGGAUCAAAGACUUAGAAAAUGCUUGUUUCCUCCUAUUAUUCUUAUGAGAGCUGAUACGGGGCUUUCAGUUUUGGGGGAGAGCCUUGGAAGAGAAUGAGGGAAUUUAAUCAACUAGCGGGACCUUUCCAACUUACAUUUCCCAGUGUUUGUUGGAUGAUACGUUUGCCUAAUAAGUUAAAGCUUCCAAAAAUAGAAAGGAAAGCUUGGUGACACUAAGCUCUGGCAUGCUGUCAUCUUCUGGCUAGGGGUCUUGUGCUUCUGUUUUUCUAUUUCUGACCAAAGACAUAAAAUGUGUUGUGACCUCUCAGGUAAUGCUGUGGUAUCAUGUCCAAGCAGUAACUAACCAGAGUGGAGUUUUUACAGGUAAAAAAGUAUUGAAUAGCUCAGCAACAGGGAGGACUUAAUGAUAAAUUGCUUUUUCAGAAAAUGACAAGGGGACAGACACUUGCGGUUCUUCCAUUGAGAGCCUUAAGGAAGUUAAGCGAAGCCUCUGCUCACCCCUUCAAGUAACGAUGACCCAUCAGAUCGUGGUCAUAACCAGUAGCAUCUGAGGCACCCCUAAGCUCUCUGGGCCCCAGAUUCCUUGUUAAGUUAAAUGAGGUGACUUCCCAGUUUACCAUUCUAGGGGUUCCUGAGGAGUUAAAAAUGAAGGAGAAAAUGCAACAUGUACCAAGUGAGCAAGAGCUCAAGGCUUAUCUCUGGCACGAAAGUGACCGCUGUCCGUUAGAGAUGUGAUUGCCCUAGAUUUCCUUUAGGAAAUGCAAACAUUGAACUCUGGCCUUCAGGACCCAAGUCCCGGCUUGCAUCUAUUCUAUACACUUUCUGUUAUUUGUUAGGGCUCACAAGGAACAGUUAUUUAUCUUUUAUUUUCUAUUUUUUUUUUAGAGAUGGAGUCUCACUCUGUCUCCCAGGCUGGAGUGCAGUGGUGCCAUCUCAGCUCACUGCAACCUCCACCUCCCGGGUUCAAGCAAUUCUCCUGUCUCAGCCUCCUGAGUAGCUGGGACUACAGGCGUGUGCCAUCAUGCCCGGCUAAUUUUUAGUAUUUUUAGUAGAGGCAGGGUUUCACCAUAUUGGCCAGGCUGGUCUUGAACUCCUGAUCUCAAGUGAUCUACCCUCCUUGGCCUCCCAAACUGCUGGAAUUACAGAUGUGAGCGACCACACCUGGCCCAUUUGUUUUCUUUCAAACCCUUCUGUAAGACCAGUGCUUUAGGUGAACACGUGGACAGAACAAGAUCAUCACUAUUUUGCAAUAUGAAGACCAACUGCGCUGUGACCAGAAAAACAGAGGCAAAAUGUUGAGCUUAAUGAUACCUUUUUAUAAUUUGUAUUUGGUGUUUCUCAAUUUUCCAUUGGAUAGUUUGAGAGAUAAGUACAAGUCAAUGACAUGUUCUCUUUCGUACCCUAUUGUCUAAUCCUGCUAACACACACACACACACACACACACACACUGAUUACCUAAUUUAUCUGUUCCCCGAUUAUUACACUCUCAAUUGCUGCAGAGUCUCAGAAGCAGCAUGGUGUAACAGAAAGAAUAUGAGGCUUAGAAUCCAAAAGCCAGAGUGUGAAUUCCAGCUCCACUGACUUGCUGCGUGACUUGAAGCAAGUCAUUACGUGUCUCUGUUUACUCAUUUUAUGACUUUCCUAUUGCCUCUGUAAUAUAGCACCACAAACGUGUGGACUUAAAACAACAUGCAUUUAUUCUCUUAGCGUUCUGGAGGUCAGGAGUCUGACAUCAAUUUCGUUGGGCUAAAAUCAAGAUGUUGGUAGGACCAAGAUCCCCGUGGAGGCUCUGGGAGAACCCAUUUCCUUGCCUUUGCCAGCUUCUAAUGCUGCAUUCCUUGCAUUCCUUGAUUGUUGACCUCUUCCCCCAUCUUCAAAGCCAGCAGAACAGCACCUUGUUUCAUUGCCUUCUUUACUGUCAAAUCUCCCUCUGCCUUCUUCUUAUAAGAACACUUGUGGUUGCAUUUAGAAGCUGUGAUAAUCCAGAAUAAUAUCUUUAUCUCAAGAUCUUUGACUUGGUCUCUUCUGCAAAGUCUCUUUUGCCACAGAGGGAAAUAUUCACAGGUCCCAGGGGUCAGGCUGUGUACGUCUUUGGGGGACUUUAUUCUGCCUACCACACUCAUCUUUUUUUUUUUUUUUUUUGGAUGGAGUCUUGCUCUGUCACCCAGGCUGGAGUGCAGUGGCAUGAUCUCGGCUCACUGCAACUUCUGCCUCCCCAGUUCAAGCAAUUCUCCUGCCUCAACCUCCCAAGUAGCUGGAAUUACAGGCGCCUGCCACCACGCCCGGCUACUUUUUGUACUUUUAGUAGAGAUGGGGUUUCACUAUGUUGGCCUGGCUGGUCUUGAACUCCUGACCUCAGGUGAUUCCCCCACCUUGGCCUCCCAAAGUGCUGAGAUUACAGACGUGAGCCACCAUGCCCGGCCCCACACUCAUCUAUUAAGUAGAGCUAGGAAUUCCUAUCCUAAGGGACACAAAAAUGAAAAAAGAUAAAAUUUGUGAAGAGGCACAUAAUGAAAGCCCAUACAUGUCACUGAGUUCAGAGGAGGGUGGGUCUGACCUCCCAUUGGCUGGUCUCUGCCUGAUGGACAUCGUGAAGAAGAGAGCCAGGACUAGUGUGGCUGGGGGAUGUUCAGGGGCCAGAGUGGCUUCAGGUGCCAGCAGCCCUGGCCGAAGGAUGACUCCAGGAGCAAGGCUCAGAGCCGAGUGGAAGAAGCUUCAUAAACGCAACUGAGCCAAGCAUGAUGGGAUGUGCCUGUGGUUCCAGCUACUCAGGAGGCAGGUGGGAGGAUGGCUUGAGUCAGAAGUUCGAGGCUGCAGUGAGCUAUGAUCACACUACUGUACUCCAGCCUGGGUGACAGAAUGACACCCUGUCUCUAAAAAGAAAAGGCACCUGGAUGCUCAUGACCGAGAUGGGGUGGGGUGGGUGGGGUGGGACAGCCGCACUUUAUAACUUUGCUUUCAGCAUGAUGUGGAUUAGUGUCUCCCAUGUGGGAAAAUUAUGUUUACCACUUAGAGACCUGAUAGUGCUUGCUUACCCCAUAACGCUGGACGGUGGCAGGCUUAACUCCCCCAUCAAGGGCCUUAAUGUAUUUGGGGCCCUAGUCCUAGCAACAGCAGCAAAUCUCCUUUUUCUUUUCCUCGAGCUGGUUGUUCACCAGGCAGUUGGGAUGUUAAUGGGAAGAGAAGACACACACAAGUCCCUUGUUUUCAAUAAGGCAGUCUGGUCACGUCCUUAGCAGGUUAUUAAUCUUUUUCAAACCCCUCCUCUCCACCAAGUUUUAUGAUCCUGGGAAGGAGAUUCCUACCUAGCAUCCUUAGAGUUAUCGGGGGUUAGGAUCGGUGCAUGCAGUCACUUCCGUGGAAUCAUCAGUAGCCCUCCAGCCUCUGGGGAGAGCUGCCAGUGGUCAGAGAUGUUGGGAAUUACGAGGGAGGAGCUAGGGAGAAGGAACUCACAGUCCCUCAGUCUCUGAAGGUGGCUCCUGGCAGGAGAGGGGGCCAGUCCUAGAUAAGAGCUCUCCCAGGGAAUUCCAAGGGUCCUCCCAAGGUCCAGCCACAAGAUGAGGAAUUACUGUUGGGCUCUUCCUCAGAUGUGCCUGUGAAUUCAUAUCACAGAUGCUUGAUGCAUUUGACAAUUGUUUAAUUGCUUGAGCCCAACUGAUACUCUUUCAGUCACUUUAAGGGAGUGAUUUCAAGUAUGAUCAUUGCCUCAAAUCUGUAUGGCUUUCCUUGCCUUUCAGGUGCUUUAAGAGGGCUUAUGUUCUUUGACUCCCCUAGUAACUCAAAAGGGUGGCUAAGAUGCAACUCUGGAGGUUUCCAAGCUCUCUGCAAAGCCUGCCUUCAGUAGUCUGUGCACCACAAGAAGCAUAACUUUAUUAUCCUCUAGCUGAAUUUACCUCCUGCUUCGAGCCCCUGUUUUCCCAUGUCAUUUUAGGGGUCCAAUGUUUUUCCUGGAGGCAUAUACACACACACACACACACACACACACACACACACACACACACACACACACACAUAUAUACACACACACAUUCCAGGGGCCUCUGAGGUGCCAAGACAUGUGUGGGGUCCAUCUGGUUCACACUGAUGUCCAUGAUCAUUGAGUUCAUUUUUUAUAUCAACUAUGUGACACUUCCUAUAGUUUCCAGUUCCUGGUUAGAAUUUGCAAAGUUGCCGACUAUUUCUUUGAAUAGAGUAGCUAGAUCAUGGGUCUACACCAGUCAUCAAGCAGCGAUUUCCCUGUUGGAAGCUCCAAGCAAAUUGUCAGCUCCAGCAUUCCACACAGCUGUGGGUGCCACACUCCUUUUCCUUUUAAAAGAUGAUGAUCUGCUAGUGGUGAAUGCUCUUGGAGUUUUAUUUGUAGGUUUUUCUUGUUGUCGCAAAUGUCUAUAUUUCAUCUUCCCUCUUGAGGGAUAUUUUCCAUGGGUAGAGGAUCUAGGCUUUUCUUUUGGAUUCCAUUGUGGCUUUAAAAAAAAGUCAGUUGACUGUUUAUUUAUGGCUUCUCUAAAGGUGAUCUCUUUCUUCCUAAGGCUGCUUUAAAAGUUUCCGUUCCCUCCCUCCCUUCCUCCCACCCCAUCCCCCUUCUUCCUUUCCUUCCUCCCUCCCUUCCUCCCUUCUCUUCCUCCCUUUCUCCCUUGUCUUCCUCCUUUUCUCCCAUCCUCCCUUCCUCCCUCUUUCCUUCUUUUUUCCCUUCCUCCCGCCCUCCUUCCUUCUUCCAUCAUUAUAUAUUAAAAUAUUUUCUUUCUUUCUUUUUUUUUUUUGAGAUGGAGUUUCGCUCUUGUUGCCCAGGCUGGAGUGCAACGGUGUGAUCUUGGCUUACUGCAACCUCCACCUCCCUGGUUCAAGCGAUUCACCUGCCUCAGCCUCCCUAGUAGCUGGGAUUACAGGUGCCCGCCACCACACCCAGCUAAUUUUUGUAAUUGUAGUAGAGAUGGGGUUUCACCAUGUGGGCCAGGCUGGUCUUGAACUCCUGAACUCAGGUAAUCCACCCGCCUUGUCCUCCCAAAGUGCUGGAAUUACAGGCAUGAGCCACCACUCCCAGCCUAUUAAAAUAUUUUCUUCUGGGCCUUCCCUCCUUUUACUUCUUUUGAUACCGCCAUCAAAUGCAUGUUAGGUUGACUCACUGUGUACUCUAUUACCCUCUCAUCUGGUUUUUAAUCUUUCUGUCUCCUUAUACUGUAAUCUCAGUGUUUCUUCUGCUUUAAUUUUGGUAUAUGAAUUAUUCAGCUGUGUUCAAAGUGUGGUUAAAGCGACUUAUAUGCUCUUUAAUUUUUAGUUAUUGUACUUUUCACCUCUAGAAGUUCUUCUGUGACACUUCUUAUAGUUUCCAGUUCCUGGUUAGAAUUUGCAAACUUGUUGACUAUUUCUUUGAAAAGAGUAGCUAGAAUUGUUUUAGUCUGUGUAUAGUGAGUUGAAUAUCUGAAACCUCUGUGAGUCUGUUUCUUUUGUCUGCUAGCCCUACUCAUGGCGUCAUGUUUUCCUGGAUGUUUAGUUGGUUGUCUUUGAAUAUGUCCAACUCCAGUUAUUUCUGGGAAUACCCAAAGGCACACCUGUUCACUAUCACCCAGUGAACUGCCAUGUGUUUGUCUCCUGUCAUGGUAACAUUUGCAUUCAGGGAGAGGCCUCUGCUCUCUGCAGAACAGUGUGAAAUCACCUCAUUUUUGCCUUCAAUGAAGGUUGUCUCUUGCUGGUCACCACCACUUCCUCAAAUGACUAAUGCCACUCUUGCUCACAGUGCUAAGGCGCUAAGGAGUUUUCAGAGGGCUAGAGUGAUUCUGCAUCCUCUGGGGUUCUCAGGAAACGAGGCCACAGGGCCAUCUGUGCAUGAGUGACAGUGGGGUGGGGUGGAUGAGCAGUGGCAGUGGUGGGCACCUAUGCUGCUGGCGCCACAGCUUUUUAUAUCUUGGUGAAAACAACGCCUUGCGUUUUCACUUGUAGAUUCUCCGGCUACAUUCCACAAGAACAAAUUCUGGUCACAGAGGCCAGAGUAGACUAUCAGUGUAAUGGCCCUUCCCCUUUGAUGAUAGCAGCUUUUUUCGGGGGAGCAGGGGUGGCCAAACUUCCUAGCCUUAUUUUAUCUUCCUUUCUAGUUCUCCCCAGAGGCUGCUGGGUCCACCUCUCCCUCUGCCAGACAGACAGGCUCAGACAUGCAAGAACGGAAGGGGGUGUGGGGGUUGGUGGGAGGAUUAAGUUGGGGAAAGCCAGUCUUGUCUUUGUAGAUUACCAGAACUGACACACGUACACACACGUACACUCACUCACUCACUCACUCAUCUAUUCAUCUAUUUUUGGCCUAAGUGCCUUUGGACACUUCUUCGGAAAAGCACAUGAACUCUUCGGAGUCUCCUGUUCCACUUGGUAAAUUUCCUAUAGCCACGCACUGAAAGUCCCUGCUGCCCUCCUUCCUCUGAGCUUGUGGGGCCCACAGAUCCCCUGCUCCACUUCCUGCUUCAUUUCAGCUGAUGGUGAGUCCAGGGCAGGCUUGUAGGAAGGGCGGGCUAGGCGUGGGGAACUGCAGCACCCACCCCACCCCCCGCCCCAGUGCUUGUUGCCCCAGCCUCUGUCUCCCUCGCUGUGCCCUUCCCUUAAGCCCCACUCUUGGCCUCCCCAAAGACAGAGUUUGUUCUGUUUUUAUUGAUAGGAUGACACUCCCUCGUUCUAAUACCAUCUGAAUGCCUGAGCAAUUACAUCUUACAACCUCAUGAAAAACACAGCAGCUUGUCACGAUGAAUGAUGUUACCGUGAAUAAUGCAGUUUUGAGUUCAAACUCCUUCUUAUUCCAAGAAUGAGUAAAUAUCCCUAUUCCCUCCCCUCCCCAUUGCAUUUGGGUUUGACAUGACAUGAAUCAUUGUGGUUUUACUCCUGGGUAGAAUUGUUUUUCUGUAUUGCAUUGCCAAUUGAUGGAAGGACAAAAAAAGGAAACUUACCAAUGAGCAGUUUCAGAUGAACUUAAAUUCUCAGAAAUCUUGAAGAAUGAAUGAACUAUAACUUUCUGAAGUUGCAAAAAUGUUCAAGUCGGAAGUGACCCAUGGGAAGCAACCUGGUCCUUAAUUAGGACUGGAAAGAAAACGGAGGCCCAGCGAGGGAACAGUGGCUUCCCCAAGGUCACACUGCAAGUGAGUGGUGGCACUAGUCACCCAGGAGUCCUCCUGACUCCAUGGUAUCCUGACCCCAGACCAGCAGCCUUAUUUGUGGUUAAAGAACGUGGAAAAACAGCUUAUGUUUGAAUUUUAAAAUCAUGCCAGUACUAAAGAUCUGCAUUCCAUGAAUAUUGAGCUUUGCUGUGUGCGGGUUGCUACGAAUUUUGUAACUAUUUUCUCUAAGAGCUCUCAGUAUUUUACAUAUACAAUUCCAUUCUUUAUUGUCCAGGGAAAAAGUUGCAUUUACUGAGCAGUAAGAGGGUGAUUUGAAGUCCCUGGGGUCCCCCACCCUUGUCUUUCUAUGUGAGAUUGUAUUGCAGGGCUCACAUUUAUUCUCUCAGCAGCUCAUUGCACAGACAGUGUAUUUAUUGAGCACCUACUGUGUGCCAGGAGCUAUGUGGUAAGCUAAGCAGACAAAAACUCCUGCUCUCACAAGAAGAAAGAAUAAACAAGCAGACAAUUGCACCUAUAAUGUCAGCCUGGUGUGAUGGCUCACUCCUGGAAUCCUAGCACUUUGGGAGGUGACGAUGGGAGGAUUGCUUUAACUCGGGAGUUCAAGAUAAGCCUGGGCAACCAAGACCCUGUCUCUACAAAAAAAUCAAAAAAUUAGCUGGGGGUGAUGGCAUGAGUCUCUGGUCCCUCGGGACCAGAGGCCUCGGGAGGCUGAGGCGGGUUUAUCACUUGAGCCUGGGAGGUUGAGGCUGCAGUGAGCUGUGAUCACACCACUGCACUCCAGCCUGGGCCACAGAGCGAGACCCUGUCUCUAAAUAAACAAACAACCUAAUGUCAAGUUAGGAAGUGUGGCAAAAAGGAACAAAGUCAGGGUGACUGCCAUUCUAGAAAGGGUGGUGAGGGAAGGUCUCCUUGAGCAGAUCCUGUGGGAGUGGAAGGGUAAGUCACGAGACUCUCUGGAGGAAGAAGAUUCCAGGUGGAAAUGCCUUAGUGGGUGUUAAACGCUUUAACGGGUGUUAGCCAGAAAGCCAGAAUGGCUGGAGCUGAGGGAGUAGAGGAGGCGGCAUAGAAAAUGAGGUCAGAGAUGGAGGCAGGGCCGGAUCACAGAGGGGCACAGAGAACGAGGAGGGAAUUGGAUUUUUGGAAAAGAUUGUGGCAAAAUACAAAAUAUAAAAUACAAAAAUAAAAUAUAAACCAUAAAAUGUACUACCUUUACCAUUUUAAGUAUGCAGUUCAGUAGUGUUAAAUACAUUUACAUCAUUGUUCAACCCGUCUCCAGAACUCUCUGCAUCUUGCAAAAUUAAAACUCUAUGCCAUUUCAACAGUUCGCAUUUCCUCUUCCCUCUCGUUCAUGGCAACCGCCAUUUUUCUUUCUGUCUCUGUAAAUGUUAGUACUUGGGGUAUCUCAUCUAAGUGGAAUCACACAGUGUGUGUCCUUUUGUGACAGACUUAUUUCACUUUGCAUAAUGUCCUUAAUAUUCAUCCAUGUUGUAGCAUGUGUCAGAUUUUCCUUCCUUCUUAACAUUGUGUAAUAUUCCAUUGUACGCAUAGACUACAUUUAGCUUAUCUGUUCACCUGUGGAUGGACACUUGGGUUGCUAUAGUGAAUAAUAUUGCUGUAAAUAUGGGUAUACGAUUAUCUCUUUGUGACCCUGCUUUUAAUUGUUUUGGAUAUAUACCCAGAAAUGGAAUUACUGAAUCAUGUGGAGAUUCUGUUUUUGAUUUAUUUAUUUAUUUUUAAUUUUUGAGAUGGAGUCUCGUUCUGUCACCCAGGCUGGAGUGCAGUGACACGAUCUCUGCUCACUGCAACCUCUGCCUCCUUGCACCAUUAAUUCUGAAAAUGCAGGCCUGGAUCCAACCGCCUUUGGGGACGGGUACCUGCCCACAGGAAGAGGUUGAGGAGACAAUAAUGUCACGAGAAUCAUCAUCUUUGACUGGGAAAUGGUGUGCAGAGUUUCUGGUGCCUUCUGAAGUGAUUGUCGCAUCUCAGCCUCCCUAGUAGCUGGGAUUACAGGCAUUUGCCACCAAGCCCGGCUAAUUUUUGUAUUUUUAGUAGAGACGGGGUUUCAUCAUGUUGGCCAGGCUGGUCUCAAACUCCUGACCUCAGGUGAUCCACCUGCCUCAGCCUCCCAAAGUGCUGGGAUUAUAGGUGUGAGCCAUGCACCUGGCCUGAUUGGUUAUUUAAAUUCUGAGAUGGGGUAUACUAAUGUUUGAAAACCACAGGGAUGGGAUAGGUAUAGGUGGGGAGGGAGAGCAAAAGUGGUAUUUAGAAUAUGUUACGUUUGAAAAACCUAAUACACAUUCUACAUCCAAGUGGACAUAGAUGGAGUUAUUUGA